UAGGGAAUCUUCGGCAAUGGGGGCAACCCUGACCGAGCAACGCCGCGUGAGUGAAGAAGGUUUUCGGAUCGUAAAGCUCUGUUGUAAGAGAAGAACGUGUGUGAGAGUGGAAAGUUCACACAGUGACGGUAACUUACCAGAAAGGGACGGCUAACUACGUGCCAGCAGCCGCGGUAAUACGUAGGUCCCGAGCGUUGUCCGGAUUUAUUGGGCGUAAAGCGAGCGCAGGCGGUUUAAUAAGUCUGAAGUUAAAGGCAGUGGCUUAACCAUUGUUCGCUUUGGAAACUGUUAAACUUGAGUGCAGAAGGGGAGAGUGGAAUUCCAUGUGUAGCGGUGAAAUGCGUAGAUAAAUGGAGGAACACCGGUGGCGAAAGCGGCUCUCUGGUCUGUAACUGACGCUGAGGCUCGAAAGCGUGGGGAGCAAACAGG
This 429-nucleotide ribosomal RNA is filed under the name bacterium. Its description in RNAcentral is "partial 16S ribosomal RNA". It matches the Rfam family "Bacterial small subunit ribosomal RNA", at positions 355 to 776 of the family's 1533-position model. The record is from RNAcentral.